GAUGAACGCUGGCGGCGUGCCUAAUACAUGCAAGUCGAGCGAACGGACGAGAAGCUUGCUUCUCUGAUGUUAGCGGCGGACGGGUGAGUAACACGUGGAUAACCUACCUAUAAGACUGGGAUAACUUCGGGAAACCGGAGCUAAUACCGGAUAAUAUUUUGAACCGCAUGGUUCAAAAGUGAAAGACGGUCUUGCUGUCACUGAUAGAUGGAUCCGCGCUGCAUUAGCUAGUUGGUAAGGUAACGGCUUACCAAGGCAACGAUGCAUAGCCGACCUGAGAGGGUGAUCGGCCACCAUGGAACUGAGACACGGUCCAGACUCCUACGGGAGGCAGCAGUAGGGAAUCUUCCGCACUGGGCGAAAGCCUGACGGAGCAACGCCGCGUGAGUGAUGAAGGUCUACGGAUCGUAAAACUCUGUUCUUAGGGAAGAACAUAUGUGUAAGUAACUGUGCACAUCUUGACGGUACCUAAUCAGAAAGCCACGGCUAACUACGU
This 496-nucleotide ribosomal RNA is filed under the name uncultured bacterium. RNAcentral's name for it is "partial 16S ribosomal RNA". It matches the Rfam family "Bacterial small subunit ribosomal RNA", at positions 28 to 506 of the family's 1533-position model. The record is from RNAcentral.